GGGAUUGCCUCAGUAACGGCGAGUGAAGCGGCAACAGCUCAAAUUUGAAAUCUGGCCCCKUCGGGGUCCGAGUUGUAAUUUGUAGAGAGUGCUUCGGGGGAGACCGCGGUCUAAGUCCAUUGGAACAUGGCGUCCCAGAGGGUGAGAAUCCCGUAUGUGACCGCGGCUCGAGCCYAUGUGAAGCCUCUUCGACGAGUCGAGUUGUUUGGGAAUGCAGCUCUAAAUGGGUGGUAAAUUUCAUCUAAAGCUAAAUACUGGCUGGAGACCGAUAGCGCACAAGUAGAGUGAUCGAAAGAUGAAAAGCACUUUGGAAAGAGAGUUAAACAGUACGUGAAAUUGUUGAAAGGGAAGCGCUUGCAACCAGACCUGCCCGUAGGCGAUCAACCGCUGUUCUCAGCGGUGCACUCGUUCUGCGAUCAGGCCAGCAUCGGUUCKGGCGGUCGGAUAAAGGCCUUGGGAAUGUAGCUUCCCUUCGGGGGAGUCUUAUAGCCCUCGGUGCAAUGCGGCCAGCCGGGACCGAGGACCGCGCUUCGGCUAGGAUGCUGGCGUAAUGGUUGUAAGCGACCCGUCUUGAAACACGGACCAAGGAGUCUACCAUCUAUGCGAGUGUUUGGGUGUCAAACCCAUGCGCGAAAUGAAAGUGAACGGAGGUGAGAACCCUUAAGGGCGCAUCAUCGACCGAUCCAGAUGUCUUCGGAUGGAUUUGAGUAUGAGCAUGGCUGGUGGGACCCGAAAGAYGGUGAACUAUGCCUGAAUAGGGUGAAGCCAGAGGAAACUCUGGUGGAGGCUCGCAGCGGUUCUGACGUGCAAAUCGAUCGUCAAAUUUGGGUAUAGGGGCGAAAGACUAAUC
Molecule: ribosomal RNA, 850 nt
Filed under: Melanohalea elegantula
Lineage: Eukaryota; Fungi; Ascomycota; Lecanoromycetes; Lecanorales; Parmeliaceae
Description: eukaryotic LSU rRNA
Rfam family: Eukaryotic large subunit ribosomal RNA
Source: RNAcentral